This 1702-nucleotide long non-coding RNA is filed under the name Salvia miltiorrhiza (redroot sage). RNAcentral describes it as "long non-coding RNA (SMIL_LNC007565)". The record is from RNAcentral. Lineage: Eukaryota; Viridiplantae; Streptophyta; Magnoliopsida; Lamiales; Lamiaceae.
CAAAAUAUAUAAUAUUUUCAACAACAUCUAUUUACGUAUUUGAGCAACCAAUUACUUCGUUUUAAGCCACAGAUUUUAAAAUCUAUAACAAUGCAACGACCUCUAAAUAAAAGCCCUAAUUUAUUUGUAGGUUGAGAAUUUAUUAGGUCAUUUGAUGAGUCACGUACGCUUGAGAUAAACUUCGUCUCCAUGCAGAAAUUGCAAUUAGACAUAACAAUGAAUUGUAGGCUGGUUGGGCGUAUUUAUACGCAUUUAUUUGGGUAUUUUAGUAUGAUUUCUAUGCUUCAUUAUUUAUAUAUAUAAUCAUUUUGGUACGAUUUUAUGAGCUUAAGUGGAGUUUGAUGGUAAUUGAUAGGUUUUGAAGAAAAGACUUGCUUUUGAGAAGAGUUUUGAAGUCUUAAGCUGUGAAGAAAGAAUCUGUGCGCGCAAGCUGGACGGCGUGCCCAUACCGUCUGAGAUGUCCGAAAUUCAAGAUUGGCGAGAAUCUUGUGGGCUGAAGUUCUUUUGUCUUUUAGUGGCCUUUCUUUUCAUUAUUUGGUGGGCCAAUACACUGAUAUUAGGCUUAGGCCUUUUUCUUAUAAUUUUAUUGUUUAAUUAGGUUUUAGUUUAGGUUUAGAAUUAUUAUAUAUACAUUUAUGCAUCACAAUUCACGCCAACUUUGGGGAGAAGCUGCUAGACGUGAUUAUUUUGCUCAUCAAUUCAAGUUCUUCUUUUAUUUUGUUCUUCACGUUUUUUUUAUUAUUUAUUUUAUUAUGAGUUCUAGCUAAUUUCUUUUAUUCCAGCAACGAUUAGGGAAGCACUAGCAAGAUUAUUCUGUGAGAUCUAAUUGUUCUUAUACUUUAUUUUUAUGCUUGCAUCUGCGAUUCUCCAUAUUUAAUGAUAUUAAUUAUUUUAAUCCAUUAGAUAGUUGUAAAUAUUUAUUGGGUUAGAAUUAAUUAUAUAGCCAAUUAAACCGGCCAUCCUAAUUGUGGUUUAGUUUGAUUAGUGGUAAAUUGACACAUCAGGGUCAAGGAAAAACAGUCUUAAUUCAAUAAUCUCGUCAGAGUUUAUUGGUUUUGAAUCGGGUUUCUCUAGAUAUUAAUGUUGUCGGCUCAUUAAAUCUAUAGAGCGUCUCUUACGGUUGUCAGUCGAUUAGGGUAGUAAUUAGUGAAGCGUCUUCCUAAUUACCGAAUAAUUAAGGAGAAAUAAGAUCACGUCAGAAGCGUCUUCGGUGGUUAUAACUGGUUUGCUUGCAUGAAUUAAAGUUAUAUUUGCAUCAAUGAUCGGAAUAAUUAAGCUAGGGUGGACUUAAUUGAUUGCUGGAAUUCUUUAUUAAUUGUUUGAUUUUUCUAUUUAUUUAUUUAGUAUUAGAACCAUUACAAUUCUUAUAGGUUUUAUUUAUUUAUUUUUAGAUUUAGUAUUUUUUUCAUAUUUUUCCCCAUAAUUUCGUUUCUUGAGUUUCUUUGCAGGUUGAAUUUUAGGAGAAUUCUCACCGAUCCCUUGGGAGACGAUUUUGCUUACUGCUGUCUGUGCAGUGUGGGCAUACCGGCUGACCGCCGGAUAUUUUUAGUGUAAAACGACGCAUCAUAGGCAAAUACUUACCAAGCCCAAUAUAAAAGAUAUUGAUCAAAUUCAAAUUCAUUACAUUUUAAUAUGAAUUCAUUAUAAAUUGGUCACCAAGUCGUGUAUCUUUAUAGGAAAUGGAUCAAACCCACUUUAUGAA